AAAUUACUAUCAUGUGGCAGAUGAUUGAAACUGUCUGACACAAUUUGAUCUUGCUAUAGCAACAGAUUCCAACCUAUUCCGGCACUCUCUCCUCCAUGGGACAAGCCGUUAUACAGACUUAGACAGU
Artibeus jamaicensis (Jamaican fruit-eating bat) is the source of this 127-nucleotide small nucleolar RNA. RefSeq annotates it as small nucleolar RNA SNORA28. The transcript has a single exon. Lineage: Eukaryota; Metazoa; Chordata; Mammalia; Chiroptera; Phyllostomidae. The record is from RefSeq and is a predicted model, not a curated record.